Molecule: ribosomal RNA, 795 nt
Filed under: uncultured Pelagibacteraceae bacterium
Lineage: Bacteria; Pseudomonadati; Pseudomonadota; Alphaproteobacteria; Candidatus Pelagibacterales; Candidatus Pelagibacteraceae
Description: bacterial SSU rRNA
Rfam family: Bacterial small subunit ribosomal RNA
Source: RNAcentral
ACGCCUAAUACAUGCAAGUCGAACGAAGUAGCAAUACUUAGUGGCAGACGGGUGAGUAACAUGUGGGUAUCUUCCCUUUGGUGAGGAAUAACACGAGGAAACUUGUGCUAAUACCUCAUAAGUCUUUACGGAGAAAGCUUUAUGCGCCAAUGGAUGAGCCCGCACUUGAUUAGUUUGUUGGUGGGGUAAUGGCCUACCAAGACAAUGAUCAAUAGCUGAUUUGAGAGGAUGAUCAGCCACAUUGGGACUGAGACACGGCCCAAACUUCUACGGAAGGCAGCAGUAGGGAAUCUUGCACAAUGGAGGAAACUCUGAUGCAGCGAUGCCGCGUGAGUGAAGAAGGCCUUUGGGUUGUAAAGCUCUUUCGUCGGGGAAGAAAAUGACUGUACCCGAAUAAGAAGGUCCGGCUAACUUCGUGCCAGCAGCCGCGGUAAUACGAAGGGACCUAGCGUAGUUCGGAAUUACUGGGCUUAAAGAGUUCGUAGGUGGUUAAAAAAGUUGGUGGUGAAAUCCCAGAGCUUAACUCUGGAACUGCCAUCAAAACUUUUUAGCUAGAGUAUGAUAGAGGAAAGCAGAAUUUCUAGUGUAGAGGUGAAAUUCGUAGAUAUUAGAAAGAAUACCAAUUGCGAAGGCAGCUUUCUGGAUCAUUACUGACACUGAGGAACGAAAGCAUGGGUAGCGAAGAGGAUUAGAUACCCUCGUAGUCCAUGCCGUAAACGAUGUGUGUUAGACGUUGGAAAUUUGUUUUCAGUGUCGCAGCGAAAGCAAUAAACACACCGCCUGGGGAGUACGACC